Molecule: transfer RNA, 72 nt
Filed under: Bos taurus (domestic cattle)
Lineage: Eukaryota; Metazoa; Chordata; Mammalia; Artiodactyla; Bovidae
Also listed under: 5 other names
Rfam family: tRNA
About the family: Transfer RNA (tRNA) molecules are approximately 80 nucleotides in length.
Source: Rfam by way of RNAcentral
UCCCUGGUGGCUCAGAUGGUAAAGUGUCUGCCUACAAUGUGGAAGACCCAGGUUCAAUCCCUGGGUUGGGAA